This 468-nucleotide ribosomal RNA is filed under the name uncultured bacterium. Its description in RNAcentral is "bacterial SSU rRNA". It matches the Rfam family "Bacterial small subunit ribosomal RNA", at positions 335 to 799 of the family's 1533-position model. The record is from RNAcentral.
ACUCCUACGGGAGGCAGCAGUGAGGAAUAUUGGACAAUGGAGGCAACUCUGAUCCAGCCAUGCCGCGUGUAGGAAGACGGCCCUAUGGGUUGUAAACUACUUUUGUACGGGAAGAAAUACAGUCACGUGUGAUUGUUUGACGGUACCGUAAGAAUAAGCACCGGCUAACUCCGUGCCAGCAGCCGCGGUAAUACGGAGGGUGCAAGCGUUAUCCGGAAUCAUUGGGUUUAAAGGGUCCGUAGGCGGGUAAUUAAGUCAGUGGUGAAAUGCAGGGGCUCAACUCCGGCACUGCCAUUGAUACUGGUUAUCUUGAAUUAUUGUGAAGUGGUUAGAAUAUGUAGUGUAGCGGUGAAAUGCUUAGAUAUUACAUAGAAUACCGAUUGCGAAGGCAGAUCACUAACAAUAUAUUGACGCUGAUGGACGAAAGCGUGGGAGCGAACAGGAUUAGAUACCCCUGGUAGGAUAGCG